Chaetura pelagica (chimney swift) is the source of this 603-nucleotide non-coding RNA. Lineage: Eukaryota; Metazoa; Chordata; Aves; Apodiformes; Apodidae. The record is from the annotation of a RefSeq genome assembly.
AUGGCUGUGCCAGCAUAUGUUCUGCUAAUCCAGUCAGGUCUUGUUGGAGGUGACCCCCAGAAGCAAUUCUUCUCCAAGGUGUCAGCCAGAGAUGGGCAGCAAGUGGUUCUGCCCUGUCAGUCCACCAUCGAGGACAAUGUCAGAAUUUUUAAUUUCUUCUGGUAUCGCCAGUUCUCAGGAGAGAACUUGAAAUUUAUCCUGCAAGCAUUUAGAGCUUCAGGGAAUGACAAGUUCCAUAAUGGGGUGCGGGCGCAGCCGAGGCUGGGGGAGGCCAGUGGAGGGAUGCGAGCACCCAGGGACUCUGUGCUUCUCUCCUGCCGCGGGUCCGGCUGCAGUUUCGUCCGUUACGCAGUUGGGUGGUACCGUCAGACACCGAAUGGUAGAUUCGAGUUAGUAUCCAACUGUUGGGCCUCGGGUAAUCCAUAUUAUGGAGCAGUAGAGCAGGGUCGAGCCAGGGUUUCCCAGGACAAUUCCCAGUCCGUGUCUUACCCGUCCCUGCAUGCCCUGCAUUCCCUGGACACUACUGGCUACUUUUGCGCUCUUCUCUACCAUUUGCAGGGUGACAGGAAAUCCAGAGUAGCUUCAACGCAAGCUUCCUGCUAG